UACGUAGGCAGCGAGCGUUGUUCGGAGUUACUGGGCGUAAAGAGUGCGUAGGCGGUGCUCUAAGUUUGGUGUGAAAUCUCCCGGCUCAACUGGGAGGGUGCGCCGAAAACUGGAGUGCUCGAGUGUGGGAGAGGUAAGCGGAAUUCCUGGUGUAGCGGUGAAAUGCGUAGAUAUCAGGAGGAACACCUGCGGUGUAGACGGCUUACUGGACCAUGACUGACGCUGAGGCACGAAAGCGUGGGGAGCAAACAGG
RNAcentral lists this ribosomal RNA (253 nucleotides) under uncultured bacterium. RNAcentral's name for it is "partial 16S ribosomal RNA". It matches the Rfam family "Bacterial small subunit ribosomal RNA", at positions 524 to 776 of the family's 1533-position model. The record is from RNAcentral.